Molecule: ribosomal RNA, 230 nt
Filed under: uncultured bacterium
Lineage: Bacteria
Description: partial 16S ribosomal RNA
Rfam family: Bacterial small subunit ribosomal RNA
Source: RNAcentral
AAAGCGUGCGCAGGCGGUUAUGUAAGACAGAUGUGAAAUCCCCGGGCUCAACCUGGGAACUGCAUUAGUGACUGUAUAGCUGGAGUACGGCAGAGGGGGAUGGAAUUCCGCGUGUAGCAGUGAAAUGCGUAGAUAUGCGGAGGAACACCGAUGGCGAAGGCAGCCCCCUGGGUCAAGAUUGACGCUCAUGCACGAAAGCGUGGGGAGCAAACAGGAUUAGAUACCCUUGU